This 425-nucleotide ribosomal RNA is filed under the name uncultured bacterium. Its description in RNAcentral is "partial 16S ribosomal RNA". It matches the Rfam family "Bacterial small subunit ribosomal RNA", at positions 354 to 796 of the family's 1533-position model. The record is from RNAcentral.
GUGGGGAAUAUUGGACAAUGGGCGCAAGCCUGAUCCAGCCAUGCCGCGUGAGUGAUGAAGGCCCUAGGGUUGUAAAGCUCUUUCACCGGAGAAGAUAAUGACGGUAUCCGGAGAAGAAGCCCCGGCUAACUUCGUGCCAGCAGCCGCGGUAAUACGAAGGGGGCUAGCGUUGUUCGGAAUUACUGGGCGUAAAGCGCACGUAGGCGGACAUUUAAGUCAGGGGUGAAAUCCCGGGGCUCAACCCCGGAACUGCCUUUGAUACUGGGUGUCUGGAGUAUGGAAGAGGUAAGUGGAAUUCCGAGUGUAGAGGUGAAAUUCGUAGAUAUUCGGAGGAACACCAGUGGCGAAGGUGGCUUACUGGUCCAUUACUGACGCUGAGGUGCGAAAGCGUGGGGAGCAAACAGGAUUAGAUACCCGAGUAGUCC